GUCUGGCAAACUGAAACAUCCAAUACACUUGCGACAGACUGUUAUACCAUAGUUGUUGGAGAUCUUGCAGCCACAUAAAGUGAAGGUAGAUUUUUCUUUCAAAUAUGAAUAUAGUACUAUUGUAUUCAGGAUGCCCUAUAGCCAAGGACAGACUUGUCAAUUUUGAAUUUCAAAAUAGAAGAACAUCUAGAAUAUAGAACAGAUCCUGGGUUGAGAUAAUGAGUUUAGUCUGUUCUCUGCAUUUUGUGGUCUUUUUCCUGAAGAUGAAUGGCCCUGGGUAGGAGACAGUACAGUCUGGUCAGCCCUUCCCGUGCAUGGGUGCCUGCUGCUGGUUAUGAUGGGUUUCUCUCAUGGGAGGUUUGAAGGUCACUUCCCUCUUGGUAGUCUCUGGGACGCAUCCUCUUCCUGAAAAGAAGACACAAGACCACUUCUUCCAUCUGGGUGUCCUCCUUUUCUGAAAGCCACAAUCCCGCCGUUUUGUAAACUUAGAGCACAGAUAAAUUCAGACGUUAUUCCUGCUCCAAUCCCCCCUCCAAUCCAGAGAAAGAAAAUAAUGUAAUAAUGGUUUUGUGGGGGGUUUUGCCAAAAUAGAUUUUCCUAUAAAACAGUGAGUUCUGGGAUUGCCUGGCUGGCUCAAUCAGUAGAACAUGUGACUCUUGAUCUCAGGGUCGUGAGUUCAAGCCCCCCAUUGGGUGUAGAGUUUACUUUUUAAAAAGGUAAUAAAAAUUAUAUAUAAAAUCUUUUAAAAAGCAGCGAGUUGUUUGGCAGUUCCUAUCAGUGUGAAAGAACGAUCCGUCUUUACUUGAUGUGUCAUUUGAUAAAGGUGUUAUAGUGGUUGAUGUUAAGAGUGGAUCUUAGUAAAUAAGGCUCCUCCUUAUUGGAGGAGUAGAGAGACACCACGUCUAAAAAAUAAAUCUACAUUGAUUCCAUGUCCACAACCUUCCUCGUCCAUGUUUUUUACAAGGUCAGAGUUCCUCCGAUCACAAACAAGAGGUCCCAAGGAGGUCUUCCUUGAAUCUGGAAAUCUCAAAGGUGAUAGGUCCCGGGUGGUAGAAGGUAAAAUGGAAGCUGCUCAAGGGAAACAGGAAAUACAUCCAUCAGAGACGGGCCCUAACGUGGAGCAGAUCCAGGGGACUCCUGUCGUUCAUGACCUCUUCUCUGAUUCUCCCUCGUGGAGAGAGCUUGGCCACAGUGACUACAGGCCCAGGAGUUUGGAGCCGGUGAAGCCGGAAUAUCAAUCAUCAGGAUUCUAAUGAAGAAUCCUUGGCUGAAAAAGCCACCG
RNAcentral lists this long non-coding RNA (1282 nucleotides) under Felis catus (domestic cat). Its description in RNAcentral is "lncRNA (ENSFCAG00000050183.1)". Lineage: Eukaryota; Metazoa; Chordata; Mammalia; Carnivora; Felidae. The record is from RNAcentral.